Long non-coding RNA from Larimichthys crocea (large yellow croaker), 2699 nucleotides. RefSeq lists it as uncharacterized. Lineage: Eukaryota; Metazoa; Chordata; Actinopteri; Sciaenidae. The transcript is spliced from 3 exons. The record is from RefSeq and is a predicted model, not a curated record.
GAGCAGCUGAAACAAAGUAAGUGUGUAAUGUUUUAUGACACAGUGAGCACGGUCUAAGGUUCAGUGAUCAAAAUGUUACUCCACCGCACACACAGACAGGACAAAAAACUCCAACCUGUUUCUUCCACGUCUUGAUAUUUUAAUAUUUUGACUGAAACCUGCAGAAAUCCCCCGACAACACCACACUCCAUACCGUCCUGCAUACACAGGCAGAGGCCUGACCAGUAAAGCUAAUCUUCUUAGCAAUCACAAGGUUCAACUGUUGGAACAGAACAAAGUUCACAUCGUCAACAACAACAGAGGAGAUAUUUCUACCAGUGAGAGACAGACAGAGAGAGAGACGGGGAGAAAAGGAAACCUAAAGAAAGAGACAGAACACAAAGAAGAAAAUCAUAACUUUGACCGUCUUUUGUUCCUGUGGAAGUGUUCUGGGAUUAUUUCACUAAGCUCUGCAGUGAAACCUGAUAGUGUGACUGACACGCUGACACUGACACACGCUGUCUGAAUUUUAAAAAAAUCAAACUUUAAAUGUGAUGUAGCUGCCAUCGCUCAAACGUCACCUUUGACCUGCGCUCAAAUCCUGACAACUGAAGACAACCUCACGUCAUUAAGGACAUCUGUCAGGGCAAGUAUGUAUUAGCCCACUGAUCAUAUUUGGCAGCCGUCUGCAAGUCAUUUCCAACUACCUCCAGUCAAGCCUGCCUUUUUGGGGAACCUGAAAGCUGAGCAGCAUGACGGUGCUGACCGGCCCCAUGGCUGAUAUGGCUCUGCUCCUUCGACAGACAUUCACACAGACAGACGGAGAGACAGACAGCUUUCUUCCUCUCUUGCUGUUCGGCUCGCUGCUGUUCCUGUCUGUCUGUGUCCUACUAGUGCAACUGAUCAUCUACCUCAGCUGGAAACUCAGACAGGCUGAGGCUGAUCUGUCGGGGAAUCCACAAAACAGAAGCGCCAUCUACAGACAAAUGCGCAGAAGUACACACCUGAGGAGAAGGAGUGUGGGGUGACACACACACACACACACACACACACACACACACACACACACGCACACACCUGAGACCUUUUACGAAGCCCUGCCAGUCAACAUGAGUCUAUCUACAGAGCAAUGGGACCAAUGCACACACCAGCAGGGACACAAUGAAUGCAUCAACUGUCAGAGAAGAUUGUGUCUGUUGUUCAACUAAACACUGAUGACUUUCUCUGAAGAGAAUGACUGACCUGUAUUUAUUUAUUUAUUACCCUGGGACGUCACCCUGAAACUGUUAUUUUCUCUUUGUGGUUGUACUUAUAACACUUCAUCAUUGGACUACCUAAGCAGAAAGUACUAAAACAGUUUCAUCAGUAAAUAAAUGAUAAUGAUGUAAUACGACCAACAGAUUUCAGAGUAUAACAAUCCUUUAUUUAAACAGUGUUACACAGGGGAGGAGUGGCUGUGUAUGGGGAGACACAAGACAAUUAAGCUGCUAGACAGAAAAACUCUACCGGUGAUCAUUGGUUGACUAACAGUGAGCGAUGAGGCAACUGUGGUCGGUUUUCCAAGAUUUGUGACGAGUUUUAAAUACAAAAAUUGUGCUGGUAUUAAUUCCAAAUACGUCUAAACUUUAGUACAAAUCCUGAGAUGAUCAUAGUUUGUCUUUUAAAACACUUUCAUCAGAAAUUGAUGUUCCAGAUCUAAUCUAAUGGCAGUAAAUAGGCCCUCCGUGUUGAGAUCCCUGACAGUUUGAAAAUCAGCUGGCGUAGAAUCAUCAUCUGUUGUUUGAAGUGACAUUAUGGAGAUACCAUGUCUGUGUAUGCCUUUUUUUUGUUUGUUUCUUGUAUCUUAAUAAAAGUUACUGAUGACAACAUUCAUUUGUGAUCACAUUUUCUUUUUUAAAGUAACUUCAAAUAAACUUCACGAAGCAUUUUGGAAAACCAGACCACGCAGUCCACCCCAAAGCUCCUAGGAUUGGUUAAAACAGAGCCCAGAGCAGAACCCCGGGAAAAGAGGUUAAACCUGGGAAUAAAAGUACAAAAAAAAAAAAAGAAAAACGGUGGCAGAAAAUCUGAUUUGUAGUGGUGUUCGUUCAAUGUCAAAAAAACACUGACAAUAUUAAAAAUAUCCAAGAGGCUGCACAAUAAAUCCCACCUUUCAACAACUAGAUCACAGAGAAAAGACGACAAAUCAUGAGAAAAUCUACAAAUAUAGCAGUUGUGAUUUGAUUAAAGUUUUUUUUUAUUGUUUGGAACAGCGAAAGCUUUCAAAGCUGCCUAAGUGUUGCACUGUUGUUUUCUGCUGCUUUGUCUCUUCGAGAGUCAGAGGUUAAAGCUUUCUCCUUGUCUGGAAUGUGAUUUAAAUGCAUAGUAGAGGUCAGACCAACGUUUCCCAAUAGAAAGCCUGAAGACCAGUCAUCACCACUCCAUCACCAGCCUUAAACUGGGGUUAAAUUAAGAUGUACAUGCUAUUUCGAAACGUGGAGUGUGUGUGUCGUAACAAAACAAGAUAUAUCGUUCUGCUGACUGCAGUCAGACUGGAGGGUUCAGACAAAUCUAGGCAGGUACAGGUGGACUGAUUUUAUAUUAACCUGUGGCACUUCUUUGCUUACAAUCAGUUAAAUUUCCAGGAAGAUGCGUUUUUGUCUUUCUGUCAUCUAAAUGCGUUAGACCAAGUGCCUUGUUCUAACACAUUUAAUGCUGUCAAUAUAUACAAAAAAAAAAAA